RNA transcript from Eleginops maclovinus (Patagonian blennie), 3117 nucleotides. It is a transcript of the gene named gamma-glutamyltransferase 1b, with no coding region annotated. Lineage: Eukaryota; Metazoa; Chordata; Actinopteri; Perciformes; Eleginopidae. The record is from RefSeq and is a predicted model, not a curated record. The transcript is spliced from 12 exons.
GGGAUAACAUCUCAAGGUGUAUUUCCUGUGUCAGACAGCACCUUUUUUUUCUCAACUUGGUAACAUAAGAUAGUUGUUUUUAUGAUAGUCUGGGUUAACGUUUAAUGACUUUGUGAUAGUUACAUAUGAAGAACCGCAGUAAGCCUUUUACCUAUCAACAGCCGCAGAUCCUGGUGUACGCACGCAGUGAGCAGCCUGUUGCUGACGGCCCGAGAGGAAUAAAGGUAUUUAAUAAAGCAUUUAUUGUUCCUGCGCUACAAAAAUGGCAAAGACAACAAUAAUUUUGGCCCUGGCAUUGCUGCUGCUUGCAUCAGUCACCACAUUCUUGGGUGUGUUCUAUGGUGUGGAGAGGAUACCGGCUGAGCAGGUGUACCUGAAGGCAGCAGUGGCAGCCGACGCUGGGCCGUGUUCAGAGGUUGGCAGAGACAUACUGAUGAAAGGGGGUUCUGCAGUAGAUGCCUCUAUAGCUGCUUUACUAUGUGUUGGACUUAUGAACGCUCACAGUAUGGGCAUCGGAGGAGGACUUUUCCUAACCAUCUACAACGCCAAAACUGGACUGGUUGAGACAAUUGAUGCCAGGGAGACGGCUCCACGCAAUGCAACGCAGGACAUGUUUGGGAACAGUACAGAUUUAUCCCAGAGAGGAGGAUUGGCUAUCGCUGUACCGGGGGAGAUUCGAGGUUAUGAAAUGGCGCACAAACGACAUGGCAAACUGCCUUGGAAAGACUUGUUCCAGCCGAGCAUUGCUCUUGCAGAAAAGGGUUUUCCUUUGGGCAGGGCACUUGCGUCUGCUAUGUCCAGCCACAGGAAUACCAUCAUCAAGGACCCAGCCCUUUGUGAAGUGUUUUGUGGGCAAAAUGGGGACAUCCUGAAAGAGAAGGACACCAUCAGAUUUACCAAGCUUGCAGAAACAUAUAGGAAAAUAGCAGAAGAGGGUCCUGAUGCUUUCUACCAUGGACCACUGGCCCAGAGCCUUGUGGAUGAUAUUCAGGCAGCAGGCGGCAUCAUCACAAUGGAGGAUCUCAAGGAUUAUGUGCCUGUCUUGGAUGAAAAGCCUUUAAAGGUGGAUGUGGGGGAGUACACCAUGGCUGUUCCCAAUGCCCCCGCUAGCGGCCCUGUGCUCUCACUGAUAUUAAACAUCUUGAAUGGGUACAACUUCACAGCAGAAAGUCUGUCAAGCAGAGAGAAAAAGAUUCUAACCUACCAUCGCAUCGUGGAGGCUUUUCGCUUCGCAUAUGCAAAGAGGACCUUACUUGGGGAUCCGAAGUUCCUCAACAUAACCAAUCUCAUCAAGAAUAUGACUUCAACCUCUUAUGCCAAUGACCUUCGUGAGAAGAUCACAGAUAACACCACACACCACAUGAACUACUACGAGCCGGAGUUUUACAUGCCUGAAAACCACGGGACCGCUCACCUCUCUGUGGUAGCAGAAGAUGGAAGCGCCGUGGCCGCCACCAGCACCAUCAACCAAUAUUUGGGCUCCAAGGUUAUGUCAAGAUCAACGGGGAUAAUUCUCAACAAUGAGAUGGACGACUUCAGCUCUCCACUCAUCACAAACGGCUUCGGAGUGCCUCCUUCACCCAACAACUUCAUCAUACCAGGAAAGAGGCCAAUGUCUUCCAUGUGUCCGGCUAUCCUCUUUGAUAAAAACAACAAAGUAAAGAUGGUGGUCGGAGGCUCAGGAGGAACGAAAAUCACAACUUCUAUCGCUCAGGUAAAAUUGCAAGAAGUUACAUCAACGAGUUGUAUUAUUUCAGCUAUGUAAUUACUCCUUGGCUGUUUGGUUAUAAUUGUCUCAAAUGUCUGCUGUUUUGUAGGUGAUUUUGAGGCACUGUUCUUCGACUAUGAUCUGAAAAAAGCUGUGUCGGAUCCAAGGCUCCACAACCAGCUGAGUCCCAAUGCCACUGUAGCAGAACCACAAUUUGACAAAUACAUCCUGAAAGGUCUGGCAUUGAAGAACCACGAGGUAGAGUACCUCAAAUCGACAGGCGCUGUGGUGCAGGCGGUGGCUCGCUAUGAUGACGGACUCCACGCUCAAUCAGAUCCUCGCAAGUGGGCGUACGCCGCUGGGUACUGAGAUCAUAAAAACAACUCUGAUUAUGCACAGAGCCUGUAGCUACAUGAACUUUGACACCAGUGGUAAGAGCUGAGAGAUUAGAGACUUAAUAAAAAACAAGGAAACGACGUUUACACCAAUUGCUCUUUCAUUAAGAUAGAACAUUUUUUCAUGACACGCAACUCAGAUAACAGCACAUUGACUUUUACUCACUUUGACCGUGAAACAAAACGACCCAGUCUGAAAUUAAUUCAGAAUAUUUAGUCUCAUGUCCACUGCAUUUAUAUGCAACAUCAUUUCAAGUGAUAAAGAACUGCACAAGCCAUUAGAAGUUUAACCAUCAUCAGUGUUUUUUUUAACACCCUCGGCCGUAAAUGUUUCCAACCCCUGUUAAUGAAGCACUUUUGUAAAUCAUUAGCAGUGUAAAGCUGUUCAUUUUGUUUUCCUUUAAAGGUAUGAUUUGUGACGUCCAUGGUAAUUCCCAACAAUUAAACAUAAUUAAAUUAAAUAAUCUUUUAGACUUUAACAUAUUUCACCAGGAUGUUCAUAAGAGGUGAGAACAAACAAAGGGGAGGGCAGGCAUAACCCUUUUUUUAAAUAAAGGAUCAUAAAACCUCAGGGACAAACAGUCCUAAUGACUUACUGUACAGUAAUUUCCCGUAGCCGUGAGUGCAAUCGCCUGUAAUGACCCCAUAACAAUAUCACAGCUGUCUCUGCUCACUGUCUGGCUGGGAUUCAGGGCUCUUCUUUUCUCAGCAGCAAUGUAAAUGUGUUACUUAAUUAUUCAAAUGUAAAAGAAAGUGUAAAAUGAUCCUGCCUUUAUCCAAGUUUUGCUUGAAAUGUCUGGUUUACCUGUGAUAGAAACUGUUAUAACACAAAUAGGUUUAACAUUCACACCACAUAUUUAUUUACAAUCUCAAUGUUUAUAGAUCACAAUAGUUUUUUAUUGUUUUUAUCAAAUUAAUUGAAGAGUUAUUCUAGAUUAUUUUAUUUUCCUUCAAAAUAAACACUUGAAAUGAACAUACUGUGAUAAAUAAAAACAAACUGACUAUGUAAAAGUA